RNAcentral lists this ribosomal RNA (486 nucleotides) under uncultured marine bacterium. Its description in RNAcentral is "bacterial SSU rRNA". It matches the Rfam family "Bacterial small subunit ribosomal RNA", at positions 355 to 855 of the family's 1533-position model. The record is from RNAcentral.
UAGGGAAUUUUCCGCAAUGGGCGAAAGCCUGACGGAGCAAUACCGCGUGAGGGAUGACGGCCUGUGGGUUGUAAACCUCUUUUCUCAAGGAAGAAGUUCUGACGGUACUUGAGGAAUAAGCAUCGGCUAACUCUGUGCCAGCAGCCGCGGUAAUACAGAGGAUGCAAGCGUUAUCCGGAAUCACUGGGCAUAAAGCGUCUGUAGGUGGUUUGGUAAGUCUGCUGUUAAAGACUGGCACUCAACCCCAGAAAAGCAGUGGAAACUGCUAGACUUGAGUGUGGUAGAGGUAGAGGGAAUUCCUAGUGUAGCGGUGAAAUGCGUAGAUAUUAGGAAGAACACCAAUGGCGAAGGCACUCUACUGGGCCAUAACUGACACUGAGAGACGACAGCUAGGGGAGCAAAUGGGAUUAGAUACCCCAGUAGUCCUAGCCGUAAACGAUGGAGACUAGAUGUUGCACGUAUUAACCCGUGCAGUAUCGUAGCUAA